RNAcentral lists this ribosomal RNA (2168 nucleotides) under Salmonella enterica subsp. enterica serovar Enteritidis. Its description in RNAcentral is "partial 23S ribosomal RNA". It matches the Rfam family "Bacterial large subunit ribosomal RNA", at positions 711 to 2855 of the family's 2925-position model. Lineage: Bacteria; Pseudomonadati; Pseudomonadota; Gammaproteobacteria; Enterobacterales; Enterobacteriaceae. The record is from RNAcentral.
AGACCCGAAACCCGGUGAUCUAGCCAUGGGCAGGUUGAAGGUUGGGUAACACUAACUGGAGGACCGAACCGACUAAUGUUGAAAAAUUAGCGGAUGACCUGUGGCUGGGGGUGAAAGGCCAAUCAAACCGGGAGAUAGCUGGUUCUCCCCGAAAGCUAUUUAGGUAGCGCCUCGUGAAUUCAUCUCCGGGGGUAGAGCACUGUUUCGGCUAGGGGGCCAUCCCGGCUUACCAACCCGAUGCAAACUGCGAAUACCGGAGAAUGUUAUCACGGGAGACACACGGCGGGUGCUAACGUCCGUCGUGAAGAGGGAAACAACCCAGACCGCCAGCUAAGGUCCCAAAGUCAUGGUUAAGUGGGAAACGAUGUGGGAAGGCCCAGACAGCCAGGAUGUUGGCUUAGAAGCAGCCAUCAUUUAAAGAAAGCGUAAUAGCUCACUGGUCGAGUCGGCCUGCGCGGAAGAUGUAACGGGGCUAAACCAUGCACCGAAGCUGCGGCAGCGACACUGUGUGUUGUUGGGUAGGGGAGCGUUCUGUAAGCCUGUGAAGGUGUGUCGUGAGGCAUGCUGGAGGUAUCAGAAGUGCGAAUGCUGACAUAAGUAACGAUAAAGCGGGUGAAAAGCCCGCUCGCCGGAAGACCAAGGGUUCCUGUCCAACGUUAAUCGGGGCAGGGUGAGUCGACCCCUAAGGCGAGGCCGAAAGGCGUAGUCGAUGGGAAACGGGUUAAUAUUCCCGUACUUGGUGUUACUGCGAAGGGGGGACGGAGAAGGCUAUGUUGGCCGGGCGACGGUUGUCCCGGUUUAAGCGUGUAGGUGUGUGUUCCAGGUAAAUCCGGUUCACUUUAACACUGAGGCGUGACGACGAGGCACUACGGUGCUGAAGCAACAAAUGCCCUGCUUCCAGGAAAAGCCUCUAAGCAUCAGGUAACAUCAAAUCGUACCCCAAACCGACACAGGUGGUCAGGUAGAGAAUACCAAGGCGCUUGAGAGAACUCGGGUGAAGGAACUAGGCAAAAUGGUGCCGUAACUUCGGGAGAAGGCACGCUGACACGUAGGUGAAGUGAUUUACUCAUGGAGCUGAAGUCAGUCGAAGAUACCAGCUGGCUGCAACUGUUUAUUAAAAACACAGCACUGUGCAAACACGAAAGUGGACGUAUACGGUGUGACGCCUGCCCGGUGCCGGAAGGUUAAUUGAUGGGGUCAGCGCAAGCGAAGCUCCUGAUCGAAGCCCCGGUAAACGGCGGCCGUAACUAUAACGGUCCUAAGGUAGCGAAAUUCCUUGUCGGGUAAGUUCCGACCUGCACGAAUGGCGUAAUGAUGGCCAGGCUGUCUCCACCCGAGACUCAGUGAAAUUGAACUCGCUGUGAAGAUGCAGUGUACCCGCGGCAAGACGGAAAGACCCCGUGAACCUUUACUAUAGCUUGACACUGAACAUUGAGCCUUGAUGUGUAGGAUAGGUGGGAGGCUUUGAAGUGUGGACGCCAGUCUGCAUGGAGCCGACCUUGAAAUACCACCCUUUAAUGUUUGAUGUUCUAACGUGGACCCGUUACCCGGGUUGCGGACAGUGUCUGGUGGGUAGUUUGACUGGGGCGGUCUCCUCCUAAAGAGUAACGGAGGAGCACGAAGGUUGGCUAAUCCUGGUCGGACAUCAGGAGGUUAGUGCAAUGGCAUAAGCCAGCUUGACUGCGAGCGUGACGGCGCGAGCAGGUGCGAAAGCAGGUCAUAGUGAUCCGGUGGUUCUGAAUGGAAGGGCCAUCGCUCAACGGAUAAAAGGUACUCCGGGGAUAACAGGCUGAUACCGCCCAAGAGUUCAUAUCGACGGCGGUGUUUGGCACCUCGAUGUCGGCUCAUCACAUCCUGGGGCUGAAGUAGGUCCCAAGGGUAUGGCUGUUCGCCAUUUAAAGUGGUACGCGAGCUGGGUUUAGAACGUCGUGAGACAGUUCGGUCCCUAUCUGCCGUGGGCGCUGGAGAACUGAGGGGGGCUGCUCCUAGUACGAGAGGACCGGAGUGGACGCAUCACUGGUGUUCGGGUUGUCAUGCCAAUGGCACUGCCCGGUAGCUAAAUGCGGAAGAGAUAAGUGCUGAAAGCAUCUAAGCACGAAACUUGCCCCGAGAUGAGUUCUCCCUGAGACUUAGAGUCUCCUGAAGGAACGUUGAAGACGACGACGUUG